This 398-nucleotide ribosomal RNA is filed under the name Scytonema rivulare VB521300. RNAcentral's name for it is "bacterial SSU rRNA". It matches the Rfam family "Bacterial small subunit ribosomal RNA", at positions 349 to 762 of the family's 1533-position model. The record is from RNAcentral. Lineage: Bacteria; Bacillati; Cyanobacteriota; Cyanophyceae; Nostocales; Scytonemataceae.
CUUGAGGGGGGAAUUUUCCGCAAUGGGCGAAAGCCUGAAGGAGCAAUACCGCGCAAGGGAGGAAGGCUCUUGGGUUGUAAACCUCUUUUCUCAGGGAAUAAGAACUGAAGGUACCUGAGGAAUCAGCAUCGGCUAACUCCGUGCCAGCAGCCGCGGUAAUACGGAGGAUGCAAGCGUUAUCCGGAAUGAUUGGGCGUAAAGCGUCCGCAGGUGGUUUAUCAAGUCUGCUGUCAAAGAGUUUGGCUCAACCAAAUAAAGGCAGUGGAAACUGACAGACUGGAGUGCGGUAAGGGCAGAGGGAAUUCCUGGUGUAGCGGUGAAAUGGGUAGAGAUCAGGAAGAACACCGGUGGCGAAAGCGCUCUGCUGGGCCGUAACUGACACUGAGGACCGAAGGCAC